UACGUAGGGUGCAAGCGUUGUCCGGAAUUAUUGGGCGUAAAGAGCUCGUAGGCGGUUUGUCGCGUCUGCUGUGAAAACUCGGGGCUUAACUCCGGGCCUGCAGUGGGUACGGGCAGACUAGAGUGCGGUAGGGGAGACUGGAAUUCCUGGUGUAGCGGUGAAAUGCGCAGAUAUCAGGAGGAACACCGGUGGCGAAGGCGGGUCUCUGGGCCGGUACUGACGCUGAGGUGCGAAAGCGUGGGGAGCAAACAGG
RNAcentral lists this ribosomal RNA (253 nucleotides) under uncultured bacterium. RNAcentral describes it as "partial 16S ribosomal RNA". It matches the Rfam family "Bacterial small subunit ribosomal RNA", at positions 524 to 776 of the family's 1533-position model. The record is from RNAcentral.